CGGGGUAUCGUACAUCGGUAGUAUGCGUGCUUUGGGAGCACGAGAGCCCAGUUCGAUUCUGGGUACCCCGA
This 71-nucleotide transfer RNA is filed under the name Candidatus Kaiserbacteria bacterium. RNAcentral describes it as "tRNA-Pro". It matches the Rfam family "tRNA". From Rfam's summary of the family: Transfer RNA (tRNA) molecules are approximately 80 nucleotides in length. The record is from RNAcentral. Lineage: Bacteria; Candidatus Kaiseribacteriota.